CCUACGGGGGGCAGCAGUGAGGAAUAUUGGUCAAUGGGCGCGAGCCUGAACCAGCCAAGUAGCGUGAAGGAUGACUGCCCUACGGGUUGUAAACUUCUUUUAUAAAGGAAUAAAGUGAGGCACGUGUGCCUUUUUGUAUGUACUUGAUGAAUAAGGAUCGGCUAACUCCGUGCCAGCAGCCGCGGUAAUACGGAGGAUCCGAGCGUUAUCCGGAUUUAUUGGGUUUAAAGGGAGCGUCGAUGGGUUGUUAAGUCAGUUGUGAAAAUUUGCGGCGAAAACAUAAAAUUGCAGUUGAAACUGGCAGUAUUGAGUAGACUAGAGGUACGCGGAAUGCGUGGUGUAGCGGUGAAAUGCUUAGAUAGCGCGAAGAACUCCGAUUGCGAAGGCAGCUUACUA
Molecule: ribosomal RNA, 396 nt
Filed under: uncultured bacterium
Lineage: Bacteria
Description: partial 16S ribosomal RNA
Rfam family: Bacterial small subunit ribosomal RNA
Source: RNAcentral